GAAGAUGCAGAGGAUAAGGAAAAUGACAAUGAAGAUGAAUUAUUAUUUUAGACCAAAUGGGAGAUGAUAACUACAAGAACUCUAUGAUUUCUUGUACAUGGCAAUGAUGAUUGCAAGAACUCUGUGAUAAUGCAUUUAGGCAUAUUCCAUAGUAUGACCUUGAAUUAAUGAGUGUAUUGGUGGGGCAAUAAGAGGGGCAACAUAUCCCUUAACUUUGCAGCCAGCAAACACCUCGUUUAGUUUGAGGGAUGCCAACAUUUAUUAACUUGUAAAUGCCGAUGAAAAUGCAAUACUCCCGUGAUUUUUAUCACCUGAGUUGUGUAUAGGAUUCUCUUGUGAUGAGUAUGGACGAGCAGAGCCCAAGGGAAAGGAGCAUUGAACUAGGAACUCAUAUUCGAAUAAAUAAAACAGAUUAUGGAAUGGAGGAUUUCGUUAAAAAGUUAUAUGAAAUUUUGAUAGAGUGAGGUCAAUUGCACAAUUUUCUCAACAUUAACUAUACUGGUGCCCUCCUUCCUCUAUUCCCCCUCCACGCAAACCCCAGGCAUCAACCGCCUCCUCCUUGGACGGAACCCUAUCUUCGCUCCUUCUCCUCAGUUGAAUGGAUCGCCUGCACCGUCAGUGUUUGCUUGGGUUCCCAGUGAACCACCCUUUGGGAAGAUCGAGCUAUAUUCGCCGAAGUGCUACGCGCGGCCUGCACCUUCGUGAUCAUCACACAAUUAAUUGGGUUAUGUCAUUAUCCACUAUCAAAAUUUGCAUUUGAAGAACAAGCUUUUCCUUGCUCUUUGCCCUUUUGCUGCUUAUGUGGGUGGUGGAAACAUCUUCAGCAAGUCAUUGUCUGCUAAAGCAAAUGCUGAAAAUCCAAAUGGCCAUACACAAGUGAUGGGACCAUUCAUGCUACCAUAAAGAAGUUUGAUGCAUGAAUGCUGCAAGCAUUACUCAAAGGUUCAUUAAUCUAGGGAUAUGGGGCGAAAGCGUGUUGCAUCAUUUAUUUAUUCUGAUUCUAGGCGAAAUAUGCUUCUCUGACUCCUUUAUCUUCCCGUCCAUCUACUGGGAAAGUACCUCUAAAUCCUCGGUGAACUACGAGCUCAGGGUCUCAUUCUUCAGCUGCUCAUGUGCGUACAAGCAUGGUUUUUAAAAGCGAAUGAGGCGUGCGCCUUGAGGCGCGCAUCAAGGCGAUGCGCAAGAGAACUCCUUGAGGUUGAAAACUGAGGCUUAAGCCUCACUGUCAAGAGGCGCACGCACUGAGGCGCACCGUCUCAGUGCAUGUGAGGCUUAAGCCUCAAAAAUCCUGAUUUUUGUAAUAUCAUUUUAAUUUUUAAAGCAAAUAAAAA
This is a long non-coding RNA of Dioscorea cayenensis subsp. rotundata (Guinea yam), 1331 nucleotides long. RefSeq lists it as uncharacterized. The record is from RefSeq and is a predicted model, not a curated record. The transcript has 6 exons. Lineage: Eukaryota; Viridiplantae; Streptophyta; Magnoliopsida; Dioscoreales; Dioscoreaceae.